AUUGAACGCUGGCGGCAUGCCUUACACAUGCAAGUCGAACGGCAGCACGGGAGCAAUCCUGGUGGCGAGUGGCGAACGGGUGAGUAAAGUAUCGGAACGUGCCCAGUCGUGGGGGAUAACGUAGCGAAAGUUACGCUAAUACCGCAUACGAUCUACGGAUGAAAGCGGGGGAUCGCAAGACCUCGCGCGAUUGGAGCGGCUGAUAUCAGAUUAGGUAGUUGGUGGGGUAAAGGCUCACCAAGCCGACGAUCUGUAGCUGGUCUGAGAGGACGACCAGCCACACUGGGACUGAGACACGGCCCAGACUCCUACGGGAGGCAGCAGUGGGGAAUUUUGGACAAUGGGCGCAAGCCUGAUCCAGCCAUGCCGCGUGCAGGAUGAAGGCCUUCGGGUUGUAAACUGCUUUUGUACGGAACGAAAAGGUUUGGCCUAAUAAGCUGGACCCAUGACGGUACCGUAAGAAUAGGCACCGACUAACUACGUGCCAGCCGCCGCAGUAA
RNAcentral lists this ribosomal RNA (500 nucleotides) under uncultured bacterium. RNAcentral's name for it is "partial 16S ribosomal RNA". It matches the Rfam family "Bacterial small subunit ribosomal RNA", at positions 30 to 523 of the family's 1533-position model. The record is from RNAcentral.